Molecule: ribosomal RNA, 400 nt
Filed under: uncultured bacterium
Lineage: Bacteria
Description: bacterial SSU rRNA
Rfam family: Bacterial small subunit ribosomal RNA
Source: RNAcentral
AAUCAACGCCGGCGGCGUGCCUCAGACAUGCAAGUCGAACGAUUAAAGCUCUCUUCGGAGAGUGUAUAGAGUGGCGCACGGGUGAGUAACACGUAAGUAAUCUACCUUCGAGUGGGAAUAACGUCCGGAACGGACGCUAAUACCGCAUAAUGCAGCGGCAUCGCAAGAUGACAGUUGUUAAAGAUUUAUCGCUUGAAGAGGAGCUUGCGGCAGAUUAGCUAGUUGGUAAGGUAAUGGCUUACCAAGGCUACGAUCUGUAACCGGUCUAAGAGGACGGUCGGUCACACUGACACUGAAUAACGGGUCAGACUCCUACGGGAGGCAGCAGUCGGGAAUUUUGGGCGAAUGGGCGAAAGACCUGACCCAGCAACGCCGCGUGAAGGAUGAAGUAUUUCGGUAU